Molecule: small RNA, 688 nt
Filed under: Pongo abelii (Sumatran orangutan)
Lineage: Eukaryota; Metazoa; Chordata; Mammalia; Primates; Hominidae
Description: processed transcript
Source: RNAcentral
GGUUUUUAAGAGCUGGUCAUGCCCUUUGUGGGGCUAGUGUGGUCACAGUCACAUGCCCUUCGGGCCUGUUCUUAUUCACUUAGUAUGAACUAUACUCUCAGGCCGUAUUGUUCCAGGACUGCCGGAAGCACCCGACGGGUUAGGCAGUCUCUGUGGUACCCUGGGGCCUUGGCCUCCAUGUGGCCUCUCCAGCACAUUUCCGUGGCUUCUGUGUCAGUGGUUUCUUUCCUCUGCUUGGCUCCCCAUGGUUUCAAGUCUACCAGGGCAGGUGUGAAAACUGCCCAUUUGGCCCUGAUCCUGAGUGACUGAUGGUGCUGGCCAGUAUCCAGGACCGCCCCAGGACAAUUCAGGGGAAGCUUUAAAGGAACCAGAAAGGGUCCAGGAGCACUCUUUGCCCAACUUUGCUGGGGGACAGCACUUCUUUGAAUACCUUCUUGUGGUUUCUCUCAAAAAGAAGCGUUCAGAGGAUGAUUACGAGCCUAUAAUCACCUACCAAUUUCCCAAGCGGGAGAACCUGCUUCGGGGUCAGCAGGAGGAGGAGGAGCGGCUGCUCAAAGCUAUCCCCUUGUUCUGCUUCCCAGAUGGGAAUGAGUGGGCAUCACUCACUGAGUAUCCCAGGGAGACCUUCUCCUUCGUUCUGACCAAUGUGGAUGGGAGCAGAAAGAUUGGAUACUGCAGGCGCCUCUUG